This 235-nucleotide ribosomal RNA is filed under the name uncultured bacterium. Its description in RNAcentral is "partial 16S ribosomal RNA". It matches the Rfam family "Bacterial small subunit ribosomal RNA", at positions 99 to 334 of the family's 1533-position model. The record is from RNAcentral.
CGAACGGAUGAGUAACACGUGAGGAACCUGCCCUGAAGACUGGGAUAACCCCGGGAAACCGGAGCUAAUACCGGAUGUCUUCCUCUGAUCGCAUGGUUGGAAGAAGAAACGAAUUUUGCUUCAGGAGGGUCUCGCGGCCUAUCAGCUUGUUGGUGGGGUAAUGGCCUACCAAGGCGACGACGGGUAGCUGGUCUGAGAGGACGACCAGCCACACUGGGACUGAGACACGGCCCAG